Molecule: non-coding RNA, 482 nt
Filed under: Anolis carolinensis (green anole)
Lineage: Eukaryota; Metazoa; Chordata; Lepidosauria; Squamata; Anolidae
Description: Eukaryotic large subunit ribosomal RNA
Rfam family: Eukaryotic large subunit ribosomal RNA
Source: Rfam by way of RNAcentral
CAGAUCAAGCAUGUAUCAAGGAUGCUCUGCCCCUUGUUACCUUGGAUCACCUCUGUGUGAGGUUUAGCCAACCACAAAGCUGACUCAGGACCCCUUCGCAGUACAAAAGUUGCUUGACAAUGCAGCCCGAAAUGUGUAUUCAACUCUAGUCUAAAUACCGAAACAAGGCAUAUAGUCAAAAAGUACCAUAAGGGAAAGUUGAAAAGAACUUCAAAUAGAGAGCUCAAGAGAGCACAAAACUAUUAAGAGGUACACAAGUGGGUUCAAGUACAGUCCAGCCAUCGGAUUCUACUUAGUGAGUCAUACCAGCAAGCCCAAGUGGGUGUUCUCUGGAAUCAUGUAACAGAGAUGUGUGGUUUAUGUUAUCACAAUAUUGAUUAUAUUUAAUUCAAGACUUUCCUGGAGGUUUCACAUAGAUGGAGAAAAGUGGAGAAGGCAAAAUAAUCUGCAUUGUGAGCUUGUAUAUUCAUAUUCAAAUAGGG